AGUGAACGCUGGCGGUAGGCCUAACACAUGCAAGUCGAACGGCAGCACAGUAAGAUCUUGCUCUUACGGGUGGCGAGUGGCGGACGGGUGAGGAAUACAUCGGAAUCUACUUUUUCGUGGGGGAUAACGUAGGGAAACUUACGCUAAUACCUCAUACUACCUACGGGUGAAAGCAGGGGUUCUUCGCACCUUUCGCGUUUGUAUUAGCCGAUGUCGGAUUAGCUAGUUGGCGGGGUAAAGGCCCACCAAGGCGACGAUCCGUAGCUGGUCUGAGAGGAUGAUCAGCCACACUGGAACUGAGACACGGUCCAGACUCCUACGGGAGGCAGCAGUGGGGAAUAUUGGACAAUGGGCGCAAGCCUGAUCCAGCAAUACCGCGUGGGUGAAGAAGGCCUUCGGGUUGUAAAGCCCUUUUGUUGGGAAAGAAAAGAAGCAGGUUAAUACCCCGAUGUUCUGACGGUACCCAAAGAAUAAGCACCGGCUAACUUCGUG
This 492-nucleotide ribosomal RNA is filed under the name uncultured bacterium. RNAcentral describes it as "partial 16S ribosomal RNA". It matches the Rfam family "Bacterial small subunit ribosomal RNA", at positions 29 to 507 of the family's 1533-position model. The record is from RNAcentral.